UACGUAGGGCGCAAGCGUUAUCCGGAAUUAUUGGGCGUAAAGAGCUCGUAGGCGGUUUGUCGCGUCUGCCGCGAAAGUCCGGGGCUCAACUCCGGAUCUGCGGUGGGUACGGGCAGACUAGAGUGAUGUAGGGGAGACUGGAAUUCCUGGUGUAGCGGUGAAAUGCGCAGAUAUCAGGAGGAACACCGAUGGCGAAGGCAGGUCUCUGUGCAUUAACUGACGCUGAGGAGCGAAAGCAUGGGGAGCGAACAGG
Molecule: ribosomal RNA, 253 nt
Filed under: uncultured bacterium
Lineage: Bacteria
Description: partial 16S ribosomal RNA
Rfam family: Bacterial small subunit ribosomal RNA
Source: RNAcentral